Long non-coding RNA from Cyprinus carpio carpio, 418 nucleotides. Lineage: Eukaryota; Metazoa; Chordata; Actinopteri; Cypriniformes; Cyprinidae. The record is from Ensembl.
CUCCACUUUGCAUCAGUCUAUUUUUCGGCAUCUGGAAGAAAAAAGGAUGCAAGAAAGACAGCAUAUGAGAGCUGUGAAGACUAUGGAUGAACUGAGGGAAAGACAAGGCCUCAAAGAUACAAAAGCUCCUCCAGCACUGGCUGUAAGACAUGUGAGGACAUGUUCGAGCUGCAUUCAGUAUACUAGCAGCAGAAGACGCGAGCCAGGCCCCGGGCAAGGACCUCUCUUCUCUCCGGUCUUUGAGAUCUCCACCCGGAACCGUUACACUCCCCUCCGCGAGACGGUAUGCGACACUGCGAUCAUUGAAGUCUCUAUCGUCCGGCACGACGAUCAUCGUGUCAGGACAGCUUCCCACGUAUCGACAAGGACAUGAAAGGGUCAGUAGAUUUUUUGCUUUAAACGAAUGGUUAUUGUCAUG